CAGCAGCCGCGGUAAUACGUAGGUGGCAAGCGUUGUCCGGAAUUAUUGGGCGUAAAGGGCUCGCAGGCGGUUUCUUAAGUCUGAUGUGAAAGCCCCCGGCUCAACCGGGGAGGGUCGUUGGAAACAGGGAAACUUGAGUGCAGAAGAGGAGAGUGGAAUUCCACGUGUAGCGGUGAAAUGCGUAGAGAUGUGGAGGAACACCAGUGGCGAAGGCGACUCUCUGGUCUGUACCUGACGCUGAGGAGCGAAAGCGUGGGGAGCGAACAGGAUUAGAUACCCGAGUAGUCCCUGUCUCUUAUAC
Molecule: ribosomal RNA, 301 nt
Filed under: uncultured bacterium
Lineage: Bacteria
Description: partial 16S ribosomal RNA
Rfam family: Bacterial small subunit ribosomal RNA
Source: RNAcentral